CGACAGUAAGGAAUAUUGGUCAAUGGACGCAAGUCUGACCCAGCCAUGCCGCGUGCAGGAUGACUGCCCUAUGGGUUGUAAACUGCUUUUGUAGAGGAAGAAAUUCUCGUACGUGUACGGGAUUGACGGUACAGUAUGAAUAAGCAUAGGCUAACUCCGUGCCAGCAGCCGCGGUAAUACGGAGGAAGCAAUCUUUAUCCGGAUUCAUUGGAAUUAAAGGGUGCGUAGGCGGAAUAGUAAGUCAGUGGUGAAAUCCCCCGGCUCAACCGGGGAACUGCCAUUGAUACUGUUAUUCUUGAGUACACAGGAGGUGGACUGAAUGUAUCAUGUAGCGGUGAAAUGCAUAGAUCUGAUACAGAACACCGAUAGCGAAGGCAGCUCACUAAACUGUAACUGACGCUGAGGCACGAAAGCGUGGGGAGCAAAGCAGGAUUAGAUACCCUGGUAGUCCACGCUGUAAAGUAUGAUCACUCGGUGUUAGCAAUACACCGUCAGUGGCAAGCGAAAGCAUAAGUAUCCCCUGGAUCGGACGUU
This 534-nucleotide ribosomal RNA is filed under the name uncultured bacterium. Its description in RNAcentral is "bacterial SSU rRNA". It matches the Rfam family "Bacterial small subunit ribosomal RNA", at positions 349 to 886 of the family's 1533-position model. The record is from RNAcentral.